AGCCAGGCCUUCCACCAGAUCCCUGUUUGUUAGUAAUACAAAAUACAGGAAUAUCAGAUUCAAGUAUGCAGCAAUGACUAGAUCACUACAAAAGGAACAUUGUAAAAGAAGUACUGAUACAAGUACAAAGAAUGAAAAAUUUAAUAGCAAUGGAAGCAACAAAAAGGUAAUGAAAGAAGGCUCUUGGCCAAACCAAAAGAACGAUAUAAAAGAAUAGUGGUAUGACUAACUUAUGAAGCACUAAAAAGUGAUAAUGGUUAUGUCUAAAAAGCAAAUAUUGGUAUAAGCUAAACCAAUAUAUGGCUCAACUAGGAUACAACUGAUAAUCAUAUGCAUAAACGCAUUCCAGAAAUUGCAAGCUUAAGCUGUUACUACUGCAUGUCAAUUAGUAGCGGUCCUUAGAAAACCCAGAAUAAAUGCAACCCCAUGUUUUUACAGUGCCUCUGUGCAUAGAUUAUAUCAAGAAUUGCACGAAUUAUAAAGUAAGCUCAGCAUUCCAACACCACGGAGAAAAGCAUAAAUAAAAUGCAGAUAUUAUUGCAAUGGAUAAGCUAGAGUUUUUUAUGUCAGCAUUUAUGGAUCUUUAUUUUCAUUCAAAUAUACAAAAGCAUACAAAAAUUACACAGCAUGUAGAGAGGAUGAUUGAAUUCAACAGACAGCUACUACUCUAUCUUAAAGUUAAUGCACAAAGAAAAUGAUUAUAUGGUGUAAAGCAUACCCCAAUUGACAAUCAACAAAGGUAAACUUUAUCAUAAACAGAGGUAUAACCAGCAACAAUUUAAAGUGCUAUAGUGAAAUUACCCUAAAUGAGGGCUGGAAAUCUGCUGGAGCACCUCCCUUUUCACCACCAAAAUCACCCCCUCGAGGACCUCCUCGGUACCCAUCACGAUCACCAAAUCUUGGACGGUCACCUUCAAAGCGUGGUGGGCCUCGGGGACGGUCACCAGGUGGGCCACCCAUUGGCCGACCAGUGGGCCUCGCAGAUUUCUUCAAGGUGGCAGGAACAAUUUCUGACGGAAGAUUAAGAUAAGUUCUCAAAAACUCAAUCCCAUCAUUUGUGAGGUACCAGUAGUAGUGCAUCCAUGCAAAUGUCUCACGGACAUACUCCUUGGAUUUGAAGCUCUGCAUCAGCUUAAUCACCUGCAGAUUUGGGACAUCGAUAUUUGGGUGCUUUGCAAGGUUGAAAUCCUUCUUUGCAUAGCAAACUCCCUCUGUGAUUCACCAGAAACUUAAGAACCCAUUAGUUAAUGGUAAAAUACAUGAAAAUUUCAGUUUUUCAAACCAUUCAAUACCCAAGAAAUAAAACAAGCACGCAAGGCCCCUUCUAUUGAACUUGAUCUAAAAUGCAUAGCAGAUUAGCUGCAUUUCCUACUAACUAGAAGACAAGCAAAAAGGCAUUGAGAGAACCUGGCCCUCUUUUCCUGAUUAUAUUUCCCAAUAAAGCAGACAAAGAAAACUAUCUGAUAAUUGGGAGCUAAUUUAACCACCAUUUUAUAUCUACUAACAUCCAGUAGUUCAAUUAUGGUUAAAAUUAUGUUUGAACGCAAAUGAAUUUGAAAUUCAUUUGUAAAUAAAUUAUCAAUCGGCACCUUGCAUAUUCAUACAUAGAAUUCAUUAUAAAUAAAGGAACCAUUACGAAGAUUUUGAAAACUCUAUACUAUUAUUAUGGUUCAUUCAAAAUUUCUAUCAAUUUGGAUAGGAUUUGAAAUCAUAUAAAACUUCUUGGAAUUCAGUUGAUCCAUUAAAGCUCUUAAAUGCAUUUAAAUCCUUAAACAGAACAAGCGAACUCGAAGAAUAAAACUUUAAAGUUUUUUUUUUUCUAUAACAGUUUUCUAUGUCACCGAAAGGACCUUUAGUGGAAGGCAAACAGUAAAUCAAAACAAAUAACGAACAAGAGCGAGUAGAGGAGAUAUCAGAACCUUGAAAGAGAUACUUUGAGAUCUCCCUCCUGUUCUUCUCUGGAAUAAUCAUGGUUGUUAACAGGCGACAAAGCAAACCCUUCUAUUUGGCAGUAGCUGCAGUCUGCAGAGAUGCAAGGAAGCUCGUAAACCCUAGAGGAAUGAUGUGGACUCUAUGUAGGGAACGUCUAUACCUGAUAAUCCAGCUAAG
RNAcentral lists this unclassified non-coding RNA (2109 nucleotides) under Hevea brasiliensis (rubber tree). The record is from RNAcentral. Lineage: Eukaryota; Viridiplantae; Streptophyta; Magnoliopsida; Malpighiales; Euphorbiaceae.